GAUCAUGGCUCAGGAUGAACGCUGGCGGCGUGCUUAACACAUGCAAGUCGAACGAUUAACCCUUCUUCGGAAGGUCAUAAAGUGGCGAACGGGUGAGUAACACGUGACCAACCUGCCUCUCACAUUGGGAUAACUUAGAGAAAUCUAAGCUAAUACCAAAUACUCUUGAUCUGCCGCAUGACAGACCAAGGAAAGCUUUCGCGGUGAGAGAUGGGGUCGCGGCCCAUUAGGUAGUUGGUGGGG
RNAcentral lists this ribosomal RNA (243 nucleotides) under uncultured bacterium. Its description in RNAcentral is "partial 16S ribosomal RNA". It matches the Rfam family "Bacterial small subunit ribosomal RNA", at positions 15 to 257 of the family's 1533-position model. The record is from RNAcentral.